Molecule: ribosomal RNA, 465 nt
Filed under: Vreelandella stevensii
Lineage: Bacteria; Pseudomonadati; Pseudomonadota; Gammaproteobacteria; Oceanospirillales; Halomonadaceae
Description: partial 16S ribosomal RNA
Rfam family: Bacterial small subunit ribosomal RNA
Source: RNAcentral
CCUACGGGGGGCUGCAGUGGGGAAUAUUGGACAAUGGGGGGAACCCUGAUCCAGCCAUGCCGCGUGUGUGAAGAAGGCCCUCGGGUUGUAAAGCACUUUCAGUGAGGAAGAACGCCUGGUGGUUAAUACCCAUCAGGAAAGACAUCACUCACAGAAGAAGCACCGGCUAACUCCGUGCCAGCAGCCGCGGUAAUACGGAGGGUGCGAGCGUUAAUCGGAAUUACUGGGCGUAAAGCGCGCGUAGGUGGCUUGAUAAGCCGGUUGUGAAAGCCCCGGGCUCAACCUGGGAACGGCAUCCGGAACUGUCAAGCUAGAGUGCAGGAGAGGAAUGUAGAAUUCCCGGUGUAGCGGUGAAAUGCGUAGAGAUCGGGAGGAAUACCAGUGGCGAAGGCGGCCUUCUGGACUGACACUGACGCUGAGGUGCGAAAGCGUGGGUAGCAAACAGGAUUAGAUACCCUAGUAGUC